This 79-nucleotide small nuclear RNA is filed under the name Aotus nancymaae (Ma's night monkey). RNAcentral's name for it is "U4 spliceosomal RNA (ENSANAG00000004501.1)". The stretch from base 1 to 67 matches the Rfam family "U4 spliceosomal RNA". Rfam says of the family: U4 small nuclear RNA (U4 snRNA) is a component of the major U2-dependent spliceosome. The structure of U4 snRNA from yeast and human has been reported. U4 snRNA presents a k-turn RNA motif in the 5p-SL related to recognition of Snu13 protein. Lineage: Eukaryota; Metazoa; Chordata; Mammalia; Primates; Aotidae. The record is from RNAcentral.
AGCUUUGUGCAGUGGCAGUACUGAAGUCAAUGAGGUUUAUCUGAGGCACGAUUAUUGCUAAUUGAAUGUCUCUAAUUGA